AAAUUGAAGAGUUUGAUCAUGGCUCAGAUUGAACGCUGGCGGCAGGCCUAACACAUGCAAGUCGAACGGUAACAGGAAGCAGCUUGCUGCUUUGCUGACGAGUGGCGGACGGGUGAGUAAUGUCUGGGAAACUGCCUGAUGGAGGGGGAUAACUACUGGAAACGGUAGCUAAUACCGCAUAAUGUCGCAAGACCAAAGAGGGGGACCUUCGGGCCUCUUGCCAUCGGAUGUGCCCAGAUGGGAUUAGCUAGUAGGUGGGGUAA
This 263-nucleotide ribosomal RNA is filed under the name Escherichia coli. RNAcentral's name for it is "partial 16S ribosomal RNA". It matches the Rfam family "Bacterial small subunit ribosomal RNA", at positions 1 to 260 of the family's 1533-position model. Lineage: Bacteria; Pseudomonadati; Pseudomonadota; Gammaproteobacteria; Enterobacterales; Enterobacteriaceae. The record is from RNAcentral.